UGUAUACUCCCUCCGUCCUAAUUUUUUUUGUCUUAGGUUUGUUUAAAAAUAAAUGUAUUAAAAUACUAAUACAUGACUAGAUACAUUCAUAUCUAAACAAAUCUAAUACAACAAUUUUGGAACGGAGAGAGUACAAU
This is a non-coding RNA of Hordeum vulgare subsp. vulgare (domesticated barley), 137 nucleotides long. Lineage: Eukaryota; Viridiplantae; Streptophyta; Magnoliopsida; Poales; Poaceae. The record is from Rfam.